This 513-nucleotide ribosomal RNA is filed under the name uncultured Gram-positive bacterium. RNAcentral describes it as "bacterial SSU rRNA". It matches the Rfam family "Bacterial small subunit ribosomal RNA", at positions 8 to 521 of the family's 1533-position model. The record is from RNAcentral.
AGAGUUUGAUCCUGGCUCAGGAUGCACGCCGACGGCGUGCUUAACACAUGCAAGUCGAGCGAAGCACUUAUGAAAGAUUCUUCGGAUGAUUUCAUUUGUGACUGAGCGGCGGACGGGUGAGUAACGCGUGGGUAACCUGCCUCAUACAGGGGGAUAACAGUUGGAAACGACUGCUAAUACCGCAUAAGCGCACAGUACCGCAUGGUACCGUGUGAAAAACUCCGGUGGUAUGAGAUGGACCCGCGUCUGAUUAGCUAGUUGGUGGGGUAACGGCCUACCAAGGCGACGAUCAGUAGCCGACCUGAGAGGGUGACCGGCCACAUUGGGACUGAGACACGGCCCAAACUCCUACGGGAGGCAGCAGUGGGGAAUAUUGCACAAUGGGGGAAACCCUGAUGCAGCAACGCCGCGUGAGUGAAGAAGUAUUUCGGUAUGUAAAGCUCUAUCAGCAGGGAAGAAAAUGACGGUACCUGACUAAGAAGCCCCGGCUAACUACGUGCCAGCAGCCGCGGU